This 341-nucleotide unclassified non-coding RNA is filed under the name soil metagenome. Its description in RNAcentral is "partial contains 5.8S ribosomal RNA, internal transcribed spacer 2, and large subunit ribosomal RNA". The stretch from base 1 to 120 matches the Rfam family "5.8S ribosomal RNA", at positions 35 to 154 of the family's 154-position model. The record is from RNAcentral.
GAUGAAGAACGUAGCGAAAUGCGAUAAGUAAUGUGAAUUGCAGAAUUCAGUGAAUCAUCGAAUCUUUGAACGCACCUUGCGCCCUUUGGUAUUCCAAAGGGCAUGCCUGUUCGAGCGUCAUUUGUACCCUCAAGCUUUGCUUGGUGUUGGGCGUCUUGUCUCUAGCUUUGCUGGAGACUCGCCUUAAAGUAAUUGGCAGCCGGCCUACUGGUUUCGGAGCGCAGCACAAGUCGCACUCUCUAUCAGCAAAGGUCUAGCAUCCAUUAAGCCUUUUUUUCAACUUUUGACCUCGGAUCAGGUAGGGAUACCCGCUGAACUUAAGCAUAUCAAUAAGCGGAGGA